RNAcentral lists this ribosomal RNA (491 nucleotides) under uncultured bacterium. RNAcentral's name for it is "bacterial SSU rRNA". It matches the Rfam family "Bacterial small subunit ribosomal RNA", at positions 29 to 513 of the family's 1533-position model. The record is from RNAcentral.
AACGAACGCUGGCGGCGCGCCUAAUACAUGCAAGUCGAGCGAGAAGACGUAGCAAUACGUUUGUAAAGCGGCGAACGGGUGAGGAAUACAUGGGUAACCUACCCUCGAGUGGGGAAUAACUAGCCGAAAGGUUAGCUAAUACCGCGUACGCUCCUUGGACUUCGGUUCAGGGAGGAAAGCGAUACCGUGGGUAUCGCGCUCUUGGAUGGGCUCAUGUCCUAUCAGCUUGUUGGUGAGGUAACGGCUCACCAAGGCUUCGACGGGUAGCUGGUCUGAGAGGACGAUCAGCCACACUGGCACUGCGACACGGGCCAGACUCCUACGGGAGGCAGCAGUAAGGAAUAUUGCGCAAUGGGCGAAAGCCUGACGCAGCGACGCCGCGUGGGGGAUGAAGGUCUUCGGAUUGUAAACCCCUUUCGGGAGGGAAGAUGGAACGAGCAAUCGUUCGGACGGUACCUCCAGAAGCAGCCACGGCUAACUUCGUGCCAGCC